ACCCAAGCAUUACUUCCUCAUCAGAAAGCAAAGCCAGCAUACAUAAAUCCAAUUCCUUGGCAAUCGAUCGUGGAGAUCGAUCCCGUUGAAGCACAAGAGGACACGGUUCACGAGAAAAAAAGGAAUAUAAAUCAGUUGAAAAUAAGCGACAGAAAAACAAUCGCAGCGCAUCAAUGAUUGCAGUCGAGAAGAUCCAUUAAAAUAUUAGAAGAAUAAGAUUUAAAUAGAAGAAUUUAUAGAGUGUUGUGUAACAAAUCAAAAAAUUUUUCUGACAAUUUUUCUUGCUGUUCAAGUCAUUUAAAGUCUCAAUUGCCAAAAUAUUUAAUUACAAAGAUGCACGAAAAUUAUGUCUUCAAUCAUUCUCG
Long non-coding RNA from Trachymyrmex cornetzi, 365 nucleotides. RefSeq lists it as uncharacterized. The transcript has 3 exons. NCBI's taxonomy places the organism in Eukaryota, Metazoa, Arthropoda, Insecta, Hymenoptera, Formicidae. The record is from RefSeq and is a predicted model, not a curated record.